AAGGAGCAAUGACACAAGAGUUCCUGUCACAAGUCAGACUCGGUCCAGGGAUAAUGCUGGGUGGGGAGGGCUAGUAUUAAGGACAGUGGGCUGCACAGGGCGACAUCACUUUUUGAUCCUUUGAUCCUUCCUAGAACUGUGAAGUAGGAUUCACUUAGUAUUGGAUUGUUCACCCUCUAAAUGGGAAUGUGAGCUGGGUUAGACACUCAUGAGACAGAUUAACUUUACCUCAUGGCUUUACCGAUGAUGCGAUGUUGCGAUUGCUGUUGUGAUCUGCUGCUCUUUAUGAGAGGAACCACAGGUUCAGACACUUGAUGUCUGUCUGUGCUUGGCUGAGGAGCCAAUGACACAGAACCCACAAUUUGUGGGAUUAUGGUUGGAUACCUUCAUGACAACCCCAACGCCUUAAAAGGUGUAAAUGUUCUGCGACACAGAGUUACAAAGCAGAUUAAGAUUUCACAGCAAAUCACCAAAGAGACACCUUCUUCACCGUUCUAGAAAAUCCUUUUCUACAUUAAAGUCCCUGAAAUAAGGAAGAUCCUUGAAGGUGCUAAUUCUUGCACAACAGACACUAGUGCAGUCAAUAAGG
This 589-nucleotide non-coding RNA is filed under the name Lepisosteus oculatus (spotted gar). RNAcentral's name for it is "Eukaryotic large subunit ribosomal RNA". It matches the Rfam family "Eukaryotic large subunit ribosomal RNA", at positions 2846 to 3331 of the family's 3401-position model. The record is from Rfam by way of RNAcentral. Lineage: Eukaryota; Metazoa; Chordata; Actinopteri; Semionotiformes; Lepisosteidae.